Molecule: small nuclear RNA, 117 nt
Organism: Sorex araneus (European shrew)
Lineage: Eukaryota; Metazoa; Chordata; Mammalia; Eulipotyphla; Soricidae
Source: Ensembl
GUGCCAUUACUUCAGCCCAUCACUUCGGCAGCACAUAUACUAAAAUUGGAAUGAUACAGAGAAGAUUAGCAUGGCCCCUGUGCAAGGAUCUAUAAUUAAGCACAUAAUAUAGUGUGU